Long non-coding RNA from Cucumis sativus (cucumber), 166 nucleotides. RefSeq lists it as uncharacterized. Lineage: Eukaryota; Viridiplantae; Streptophyta; Magnoliopsida; Cucurbitales; Cucurbitaceae. The record is from RefSeq and is a predicted model, not a curated record. The transcript has 3 exons.
GCAAAUCUGGUUGAGGAGUUGCGUGCAUCUUCUUCGUCAGAUCAAAUAGAUCGAUCGAUAGUAUGGAAACAUGCACGGUUGGAUCGUAAGGGAGAGUUCCCAGAUAAAGAGACGAUGGACGUUGCCAAUCUCAUUGACGAUCUAAUGGGCAACCAGAAGGGACGUA